Non-coding RNA from Hypanus sabinus (Atlantic stingray), 72 nucleotides. The record is from the annotation of a RefSeq genome assembly. Lineage: Eukaryota; Metazoa; Chordata; Chondrichthyes; Myliobatiformes; Dasyatidae.
GCUGAAAUAGCUCAGUCGGGAGAGCGUUAGACUGAAGAUCUAAAGGCCCUGGUUCAGUCCUGGGUUUCAGCA